UCCAGAUGUAGGACUGUUUGUGUGG
Molecule: non-coding RNA, 25 nt
Filed under: Mus musculus (house mouse)
Lineage: Eukaryota; Metazoa; Chordata; Mammalia; Rodentia; Muridae
Source: RNAcentral